CUUUGCUGUGGCCACAGACUUGUAGACAUAACUUUUCAAAUGUCAUAGGACUACUACUCUCUAUCAAAGUUAAUAGAUCCCAUCUAGAUACACAUCCUACUCCUAUAGCUCAACCAACUACAGUCAACAUCCACUAUAAAUUAUGACUCAUAAAUGAAUCAAUACUUAUGUGUAGUCAAACUACAGUAGUCUUACCACAAGCAACCAUAAUAUCGUAAGUCAAAAGAUCAGUUACACAAC
This 240-nucleotide long non-coding RNA is filed under the name Elaeis guineensis (African oil palm). RNAcentral describes it as "long non-coding RNA (EGUI_LNC002093)". Lineage: Eukaryota; Viridiplantae; Streptophyta; Magnoliopsida; Arecales; Arecaceae. The record is from RNAcentral.